GAGAGAGAGAGAGAGAGAGAAGGAAAGAAAGAAAAAGAGGGAAAGAAAGAAAGAAGAAAGAAAGAGAAAGAAAAAGAAAGAAGAAAGAAAGAAAAAUAUAAUUAUUCAUCUGAUGCUCUUUCAACUAUUUAAAGGAAAGUUGCUAUGUUAGCUACUGUGACGCAUUUAAGGAUGCCUGGGGACUUUGAUAGCUAGUCUAGAGUAUCAACAGGUAGAUAAUGACAAGACAACGCUCCUACCACCUAUGUGGUAGAAGCUCACGGUCACAGCCCAUUACCUGAGCCCAUGCUCUGAAGUGCAUGCGCAAAUGGAGUUUUUGACAUUAGUUCAACCCAGGAGAUCAGGGAAGUGCAGCAGACAAAGAGUCAGUUAACCUGAUGCUUGUGGAUGUGUCCUUUAUCAGAGGGGAAAAGGACUAAAUGUGGGCUUGUGUGUCGCCAUUUCUUAUCAUCUGUAUCAACAUAGAAGAGACUAUCAGUAUUGUGGCAUUAAGGUUUUGUUUCUUUUUUUUUUUUCUUACUCCGUGUGUGUAUGUGUGUAGUAGUCAUGAAAUCUUGUUAUAGAAUUAAGAUCUCAAGAGAUUUUUUUUUUAUUUAUAGGACGGAGCAGUAUACGAAACCCUACCAUGUCAAAUGUAGCAUGGUCCCACAUUCACCGGUUCAUUCAUGGUAGGUCUGGCUCUGCUCGGAGUGUAUCUCAGUGGUAGAGUGCUUGCCUCUCCGUGUAAGGCCCUGAGCAGUACCUAAGGCACAAC
RNAcentral lists this long non-coding RNA (754 nucleotides) under Mus musculus (house mouse). RNAcentral's name for it is "long non-coding RNA chr8:108681894-108682648". The record is from RNAcentral. Lineage: Eukaryota; Metazoa; Chordata; Mammalia; Rodentia; Muridae.